This 294-nucleotide long non-coding RNA is filed under the name Stegodyphus dumicola. RNAcentral describes it as "uncharacterized LOC118200981, transcript variant X2". The record is from RNAcentral. Lineage: Eukaryota; Metazoa; Arthropoda; Arachnida; Araneae; Eresidae.
UGAAAAUUUGUUUUUCCUUAGUGGUAUGCUUUAUUAACGCUGUACUUAGAAUAUAGGAUAAGUAGCUUACUGGCACAGAUUCGUGAUUAGAAAUACACAUAGGCGAGCAGAUCUUUGUGCUUGUGAAAGUGGUAAGAAAUGGAUAUAGCAGUUUCAAAGUCCAAAUACUGUAUGGUUCCGAAGGAGGAUAUGGAUAGUUUUCUGAAUUACCUAAAAGCCUCCCUGAGGCAAGCAGAAGACGUGAAAAGCCAUAUAUUCAAAACUCACCCUUCUUUAGACGAAAUGUCGUUAGAA